This 253-nucleotide ribosomal RNA is filed under the name uncultured bacterium. Its description in RNAcentral is "partial 16S ribosomal RNA". It matches the Rfam family "Bacterial small subunit ribosomal RNA", at positions 524 to 776 of the family's 1533-position model. The record is from RNAcentral.
UACGAAGGGUGCAAGCGUUACUCGGAAUUACUGGGCGUAAAGCGUGCGUAGGUGGUGAGUUAAGUCUGUCGUGAAAGCCCCGGGCUCAACCUGGGAAUGGCGAUGGAUACUGGCUCGCUAGAGUGCGGUAGAGGAGAGUGGAAUUCCCGGUGUAGCAGUGAAAUGCGCAGAUAUCAGGAAGAACACCCGUGGCGAAGGCGGCUCUCUGGGACGGUACUGACGCUGAGACGCGAAAGCGUGGGGAGCGAACAGG